GACGAACGCUGGCGGCGUGCUUAACACAUGCAAGUCGAACGGAAAGGCCCUGCUUUUGUGGGGUGCUCGAGUGGCGAACGGGUGAGUAACACGUGAGUAACCUGCCCUUGACUUUGGGAUAACUUCAGGAAACUGGGGCUAAUACCGGAUAGGAGCUCCUGCUGCAUGGUGGGGGUUGGAAAGUUUCGGCGGUUGGGGAUGGACUCGCGGCUUAUCAGCUUGUUGGUGGGGUAGUGGCUUACCAAGGCUUUGACGGGUAGCCGGCCUGAGAGGGUGACCGGCCACAUUGGGCCUGAGAUACGGCCCAGACUCCUACGGGAGGCAACAGUGGGGAAUAUUGCACAAUGGGCGGAAGCCUGAUGCAGCAACGCCGCGUGCGGGAUGACGGCCUUCGGGUUGUAAACCGCUUUCGCCUGUGACGAAGCGUGAGUGACGGUAAUGGGUAAAGAAGCACCGGCUAACUACGU
Molecule: ribosomal RNA, 467 nt
Filed under: uncultured bacterium
Lineage: Bacteria
Description: partial 16S ribosomal RNA
Rfam family: Bacterial small subunit ribosomal RNA
Source: RNAcentral